This 253-nucleotide ribosomal RNA is filed under the name uncultured bacterium. RNAcentral's name for it is "partial 16S ribosomal RNA". It matches the Rfam family "Bacterial small subunit ribosomal RNA", at positions 524 to 776 of the family's 1533-position model. The record is from RNAcentral.
UACGUAGGGUGCUAACGUUGUUCGGAAUUAUUGGGCGUAAAGCGCGUGUAGGUGGUUGUGCAAGUUGGAUGUGAAAUCCCUGGGCUUAACCGAGGAAGUGCAUCCAAAACUACAUAACUAGAGGACGGUAGAGAAAGGUGGAAUUCCUAGUGUAGAGGUGAAAUUCGUAGAUAUUAGGAGGAAUACCGGUGGCGAAGGCGGCCUUUUGGGCCGUUCCUGACACUGAGACGCGAAAGCGUGGGGAGCAAACAGG